This is a non-coding RNA of Salmo salar (Atlantic salmon), 54 nucleotides long. Lineage: Eukaryota; Metazoa; Chordata; Actinopteri; Salmoniformes; Salmonidae. The record is from Rfam.
UGCAUUCACUACUGUAAGUCGCUCUGGACAAGAGUGUCUGCUAAAUGACUAAAA